This 704-nucleotide ribosomal RNA is filed under the name uncultured bacterium. Its description in RNAcentral is "bacterial SSU rRNA". It matches the Rfam family "Bacterial small subunit ribosomal RNA", at positions 67 to 762 of the family's 1533-position model. The record is from RNAcentral.
CGGUAGCACAGAGAGCUUGCUCUCGGGUGACAAGCGGCGGACGGGUGAGUAAUGUCUGGGAAACUGCCUGAUGGAGGGGGAUAACUACUGGAAACGGUAGCUAAUACCGCAUAACGUCGCAAGACCAAAGUGGGGGACCUUCGGGCCUCAUGCCAUCAGAUGUGCCCAGAUGGGAUUAGCUAGUAGGUGGGGUAAUGGCUCACCUAGGCGACGAUCCCUAGCUGGUCUGAGAGGAUGACCAGCCACACUGGAACUGAGACACGGUCCAGACUCCUACGGGAGGCAGCAGUGGGGAAUAUUGCACAAUGGGCGCAAGCCUGAUGCAGCCAUGCCGCGUGUAUGAAGAAGGCCUUCGGGUUGUAAAGUACUUUCAGCGAGGAGGAAGGCGUUAAGGUUAAUAACCUUGGCGAUUGACGUUACUCGCAGAAGAAGCACCGGCUAACUCCGUGCCAGCAGCCGCGGUAAUACGGAGGGUGCAAUCGUUAAUCGGAAUUACUGGGCGUAAAGCGCACGCAGGCGGUCUGUUAAGUCAGAUGUGAAAUCCCCGGGCUCAACCUGGGAACUGCAUUUGAAACUGGCAGGCUUGAGUCUUGUAGAGGGGGGUAGAAUUCCAGGUGUAGCGGUGAAAUGCGUAGAGAUCUGGAGGAAUACCGGUGGCGAAGGCGGCCCCCUGGACAAAGACUGACGCUCAGGUGCGAAAGCGU